AUGUUGCUGGGUUACAUUUCUCUGGAUAUGAUUACAUUGUGGUCAAGUGACUCCAUGGUGUGUUUUUGAACAAAUCAGAUAUAACUUUGUAGUCUGUUCCGGCACUGAAUAGGAUUUUCCAAGGCAGAGUAUGCGGCCGCACUUUCCAUUUCACUCCAAGCACAGAGACUGCCUAAGGGCUUCCUCCGACAACAAGGCUUCUGAUGGAGAAUGCUCUCUGCUGACACCUGAUGCCCGUAUCAGGAACUGUCCCGGUAGUUUCGCGGGAUCUACCCACUUCAUCCGGCCUCUGAGAGGCCGGAUGAAGUGGGUAGAUCCCGCGAAACUACCGGUGUAGCCUCCGAGCGCUCCUUGAAGACGCCAAUUCCACCGAUGUCCCCGGACUCCGAUGAAUGACAGCCAUAGCCUAACGAGUAAGCCUGGGGACAUGGCGAGACUCCCGCAACAUUAUUGCUUUUUCAGGAGUGCUAAGAAAAAACAGCGCCCCCACAAAGUACACAGGAGAAAUGCAGAACUGCAUCUCUCCAUCCCCCAACAAUCAAAAGUGUCUCCUCCGCAAUAACCACCAACCACAAGUAGCUAUUACGCCUCAUUUAUGGCGGAGGUAUGCCGUAGUUUUAAUGAAGAUUUCCUAUUCUGUUGUGCUGUGUUUAUUCUAACAAGACAUUGGAAAAAAUGACAAGAACUUUGGUGGUUUAUAUCUCACAUUGCGCCAGGAGUGGAAGCCUAGUGGAGAAUUUCGCAAUGUAAAAUGUGGACUGUAUUAACAGAAAUGAAGAAAAAAAAAAAAAAUAGAAGAAGGUAAAGUAAGGACAAUAUUUUUUAACCUUCGGUGAUGAACAAAGCAGAUCUUACCACAGGUCCCGUCUUUCCACGUGGUCCUGGUGGCCCUGGGAGACCCUGGCUGCCCUGCAUCAAAGAGUGUCUUCUGGGUGUAUGAACCGCAGUGACUGGCCACAUAAAAACAGGGUGACCCUACGGUGCCGUCCAUACUACAGAAGGCUGCGCGAGGAGGGAGAGGGACUUGUUUACGUUCACAAUUUGCUGGAAAGAGAAGAUCAGAGGGAACGAAGAACCGAAAACAAACCGCAACAGGCCACAAACAUUCUUAUGGGCUUUUGAACAAGAACAUCAAACCCUGGACGUUGUCCAAAAAAAGUCCAAAAGUAUUUUACGAGAGCAUUUUGUAUGUCCUCUGCAAACAGCCCUUCUAUCCACUCACCAGCGUACGCUAUAUAUGUGUAUGACUAUGCAGGUUCCCUGGCACUGUUCCCAAUUACACAGCAGGUCAGUGACCCCUGAAGUAAAAGGAAACGGAACAUCCAUUUUUUAUAAUCAUGUAAUUGCCUUAUCCAUCCCAUAAUUGUUGUGUCUAUUGUGACCGGAUCAUUGCUUCUGACUGAUGGAAAUCAAAGUCCUAGGUCGGAAAAAUUGCUGGACAAGUUUAAAGGGGUACU
Long non-coding RNA from Hyla sarda, 1457 nucleotides. RefSeq lists it as uncharacterized. NCBI's taxonomy places the organism in Eukaryota, Metazoa, Chordata, Amphibia, Anura, Hylidae. The transcript is spliced from 5 exons. The record is from RefSeq and is a predicted model, not a curated record.